AGAGUUUGAUCCUGGCUCAGAAUCAACGCUGGCGGCGUGCCUAACACAUGCAAGUCGAACGCGAAAGCCCCGCAAGGGGUUAUUAGAGUGGCGAACGGGUGAGUAACACGUGGGUGACCUACCUUCGAAUGGGGGAUAACGUCCCGAAAGGGACGCUAAUACCGCAUAACAUCCUGCUUUUGAACAAGUGGAGAUCAAAGCCGGGGAUCGCAAGACCUGGCGUUUGAAGAGGGGCCCGCGUCUGAUUAGCUAGUUGGUGAGGUAACGGCCCACCAAGGCUACGAUCAGUAUCCGGCCUGAGAGGGCGGACGGACACACUGGGACUGAGACACGGCCCAGACUCCUACGGGAGGCAGCAGUGGGGAAUUGUUCGCAAUGGGCGCAAGCCUGACGACGCAACGCCGCGUGGAGGAUGAAGGUCUUCGGAUUGUAAACUCCUGUUGCUCGGGACGAAAAGCUUCGACCUAACACGUCGAGGUCUGACGGUACCGGGUGAGGAAGCCCCGGCUAACUCUGUGCCAGCAGCCGCGGUAAUACAGAGGGGGCAAGCGUUGUUCGGAAUUACUGGGCGUAAAGGGCGCGUAGGCGGCCUUCUAAGUCGAACGUGAAAUCCCCGGGCUCAACCCGGGAACUGCGUCCGAUACUGGAAGGCUUGAAUUCGGGAGAGGGAUGCGGAAUUCCANGUGUANCGGUGAAAUGCGUAGAUAUCUGGAGGAACACCGGU
Molecule: ribosomal RNA, 724 nt
Filed under: uncultured bacterium
Lineage: Bacteria
Description: bacterial SSU rRNA
Rfam family: Bacterial small subunit ribosomal RNA
Source: RNAcentral